This 253-nucleotide ribosomal RNA is filed under the name uncultured bacterium. RNAcentral describes it as "partial 16S ribosomal RNA". It matches the Rfam family "Bacterial small subunit ribosomal RNA", at positions 524 to 776 of the family's 1533-position model. The record is from RNAcentral.
UACGGAGGGUGCGAACGUUCAUCGGAAUCACUGGGCGUAAAGCGCGCGUAGGCGGUUUGUUAAGUGGGAUGUGAAAUCCCCGGGCUUAACCUGGGAAUUGCAUUUCAAACUGGCCGACUAGAGUACGGUAGAGGGAGGUAGAAUUUCCUGUGUAGCGGUGAAAUGCGUAGAUAUAGGAAGGAAUACCAGUGGCGAAGGCGGCCUCCUGGAUCGAUACUGACGCUGAGGCGCGAAAGCGUGGGGAGCAAACAGG